AAAAGCAGGUUUCUAGGGGUAGAGCGCGUUGUCACUUAACUUGCUAGCCUUAACUUGUACAGGCUAUUUUGAAGACCUUAAACAAUGCCAGCGGUUGAAUUAGUUGACAGACCCAGUGGAAUGUGUAGCCAUUGCAUAUAUAUGCGAAUUAGAAGGACUAGUAAAUAGUUUUCAGUCAUUUCUGUUAACUACAGCCAGUAAAAUGAAUCGAGGAAAAUCCAUCAAGAGAAAGCUUUGGCGAGAGGAGGACAUGCUUCAUGCUCUUGAAGACGUGAGGUCUGGCAUGACCAUAAGGAUGGCGUGCAGAAUCUUCAGUGUCCCUCGAACGACCUUGGCUGAUAGGGUGAAGGGCCGUGUGGUCCACGGGUCCAGAGGUGGACCAAAAGCAUUACUUUCAGAGAAGGAUGAGAAUGAUCUUGUGCAGUACUGUCUCUACUGUGUCCAAUUUGGGUUCCCUUUCACCAGAAAACAAUUGUUAGCCUUUGCCAGUUCUAUAAGGAAGAUAAGAAACCCAGACAGUACCGGUGUAGUUGGGCGCAGGUGGUGGAACUGUUUCCAAAAAAGACACAAAAACAUUCAGACUCUAUGGAGUUCAGACAAAUUUCAUAAAAGGAGGACAAAGCGUGCUACUAGACGUAGACUGGAGCAGUACUUUGAACUUCUCAAACAUACGUUAGAAGAACAUGGACUUGAGGACAAACCAAGGCAAAUAUACAGCUGUGAGGAGUCUGGAUUUAAACUGGACAAGAACUAUCAGAAGGUUUUGGCAGGCAAGGGAGCGAAAACUGUUCACCAGCACGCAAAUGGGAAGGAGAACAACAUGUCUGUGUUGGUGUGUUUUAGUGCUGCUGGGGAAGACGUCCCACCAUUUUGUAUCUACUCAGAGACAUAUCCCGUUAGUCCACAUGCCUUAUGUGACAUAUCCCUGUCUGGAUACGUUGAUGGGGAAUCGUUUCACAAAUGGUUCAGCCAUUUUGUGAAACAUGCAGUGCAGGAGCGGCCCCUCCUCCUUAUACUCGAUGGGCACAAAAUCCACAUAAAUCUGGAACUGGUAACAGAGGCAAAGAAGGAAGGUAUUGUACUUGUAUGCCUUCCCCCAAAUUCAUCUGAUACCUUACAGCCAUUAGACAAGUCAUUCCUUGGGCCUCUGAAAUCACGGUUUGCCAAGUUGUGUAGAAAGGUCUGCCAUGCUAACGAGUCUGUUGUGGUGGAUAAGAGCCAUAUUGCCAGACUCCUCCAUCAACCCUACGAAGGGCUGAAAAAGAAGGCGGCUGUUGUAAAAGGCUUUAAAAGGUGUGGCAUCUAUCCUCUGAAUCCAGAUGCUGUGGAUUACAGCCAUAUCGGCCAGUCAUCUUCUCAAGAACCAUCUGCCGAUCGGACAGAAGAUCUACUCUCCUCCGAGGAAAUGCUCUGCUCUUCUUUCUCGAUUUCUGCUCCCCCUAAGACACCAAAGAAAGGAAAGGAUGUUCAUCCAAAGUCCCCUAGAGGACCAGGAGUCGCAUCUUACAGUGUUUUGUCAAGUGACGAGCAUGUAAACCUAAUCCUUGAAAGAGAGGUUAUAUCUGUGAGUGACCAAAAAGUGGCUGCAGGGGAGUGGGUUGUAUAUCAGGAGUCAAAAGAGACUAAAGAAUCCUCCAUAGAUGGUUGUCAACCUUUGGGAGAACAAAUAAUAUCUACUGACAGCACAGUGGUGCCAUAUUGGCAAGAAGACCUGUGGAGUGCACCCAUUGAAAACGAAACCAUGAUACAGGUCUCAUCCAUGGGAGAGAUGGCUCUCCAAAAUACAGAUGAGGUUGAAGAAACUGUAGAACAGUUCAACUCUGAAAUGGAUAUGACCGCAGACGGAGAGGAGUAUGUGCUGCCCAAUGAACAGGGGAGAAAAGAGACUGAGGCACAACCGGAGUCAGCACCUCUGAACAAAGGCGACUCUAUUGUGAGAAAAAAAAGGAAGAAUUGGCGUGAUGAAGACAUGCUGCAAGCCCUUGAAAAGGUGGAGGGUGGGAUGACCGUGAGGGAAGCUUCCAGGAUCUACAGCGUUCCCCGAGGUACUUUGAGGGAUAGAGUUAAAGGACAGGUCGUACACGGCACCAGACCAGGCCCUAAAAACUUGCUCUCGGGAGAGGAAGAAGAGGAGCUGUUCGACUAUUGUAAGUACUGUGUAAAAAAUGGUUUCCCAAUCUCCAAAGCCCUCUUCAUGGCUGCUGCUGUGUCUUUGAGGCAUCGGAAGAACCCGAAGAACCGUCCACUCGGGAAUAGGUGGUGGACGGGUGUUGUAAAGAGGAAUCCUAACAUCCGGGAGAUGAUUUUUGACCACCGUAAAGGGUGCAGACCAGUGGACCAGUACUUUGAAGUUUUUUCAAAAACCUUACAGGAACUAAGGCUAAAGGACAAACCAGGACAGAUUUACAGCUGCUGUGAGUUGCCAGUGAUGUGCGACCAGGAUAAACACAAAAAGCCAGGCCUAAGCGAAACAAACACAAACUUUGUGUCGGUACUGAUGUGCUUUAACGCGGCAGGGGAUCAUAUCCCACCCCUCAAUAUCUACCCAGAGACAUUUCCACGUGGCCCCUACAAGUUUGGAGGUGUCUCGAACGCCCUAUACGAGAAGUCCCCCACAGGACACGUCAACGAGAGUGUCUUCCACAAAUGGUUCAAGCACUUCGUGAAACACGCUGUGCAUGAGCGCCCUCUCAUCCUGUUGUUCGACGGUCACAAAUGUCCCGCUCCUCUUGAAGUUGUCGCCGAGGCGAAACGGCAACGUGUCACACUUGUGUGCCUUCCUGAGCAAUACUUGAAGGCUCCGCUGAGCGUCUCGUUCCUUGGAUCUCUCCAGUCGAAAUUUGCCAGAGCUGCACAGGAUGCCUCCAACCUCAAGAACUCGUACAUGGUGGAAAAGACGAUGUUCGCCAUGGUGUUCCGUAAGCCGUACGAGGAGCUCAAGAAGAAGAAGGUGGUGGUGGAGGGCUUUAAGACUUCAGGCGUCUACCCUCUCAGUUCUGAGGGACUGCGUCAUGGCAAUCUCGCACCACCACAGUCGAAGAACCCGUGCUCUUCUGCCAAAGAUCCACCCACUUAUUAUUGUUCUCAUGCCCUUCUCAGGACGAGUGCCCCCCCGACCUCACCCCCGCUGAAGCACGUAGACCACCCACUGGUGACAGCGCGCAUGAUUCAGCCCGAGGUGGUUGUGACCCUGACCCCCCCCAUCGAGUUUGAAAAGAAGACCGGUAGAAGGGUGAAAGCCGUGGCGAAGGUACUCACGACAAGUGACAAGAACAAGAAGGAAAUGCACAAGACUGUGAAGACCAAACAAGCUUCACAUUUCAAAAAACUAAAUGCGCUUCCUAUACAUGAUAAAUCCCUGGAGAAAAAGUCCAGGUCCGGUAGGGGGCAGACCAGGGUGAAACGAUCCAACCCUUUAACAGAGAGGGAGGUGCCAUCUGUAAUGAAGAGGUCACCUCCAAAGAAACCGAAAAGAGUUGAGCUGGAGGACAUGACGGAAUGAUCCAUUUCUCCUCAGAAGCAGUGGUCCGACCUGGGAAUGUGUUGAGUUCAACUGAGAUUAGAACCAGAACAUCCUGAAUUAUUCAGGAAAGACUUGACAACCCCAAGUAAAUACGGUGCAGGUUUGUUGCAGAGAGAACCGUGCAUGUCUCUCAAGAGGAGGAAAAUAUUACAGACAGGACAAGGGUCAAAUGAACAGCAGAGCAGGGUACAGCAAUCACUCAUUUUCAAAAAUGAGAAGACUGAAUCCGCAGCAGAGAGAUACCAUACAAACUAAUCGGGAAAUGGAUGAGAUGGAGAACCUGGCCAAACCAUCCACAGCUCUGAAACGACAGAGGCUGUAGAUGAGAACAUUUGCAAAGACACUUGACAUGUCAUCCAGAGACUCUUAAAGCACCCAGAAACAGGUGAAUGCCUCCAGGAAAGAGAGGAGAUGGAAGAGAGAGGAUCUCCCUCGUCAUCCCCACACUAGUGGUUUGUCCCAAGAGGCAGGACUUCACUAUACUAGCAUAGAAUCGGUGACAACAAAGGGAGGGAACUGUUUAUAAGAUGUAUAUAUGUAAUGUAGACAUAAGUUUUAUUCAAAGAUGGUUUUGAAGAAUUUUUUUUAGAAGCAAAUAUAGAUCAUUAAACAAUGAAAAACCAAGAGUACACGAGCUUCAUUAGUGAGUUCUAGUUGUGUUCAUUUGAUUUACAACGGACUUACAUCAGAUCAACUACAAUAUUUAAACUCUACACCUGAAUUAGACGAGUUUUUUUUUUUUUAGGAAUUGUAAAUACAUUCUUUCAAUAUAUAUAACAAUAUUUAAACGAUAUAAACCUAUUUUACUUGAAAAUCAUCUCUGCAUGUUUUACAGUAACUUAGAAGUUCAGAUGUUACAUUUUUUAGACGACUCCUGAUAUUUUUUUAGGGAAAGAAUAACCCUACAGUUGAUUUUGUUUUAUUCACUGACUAUAUGGAUACGUUUUUUCUUCUAGAAUCAUUAGCGAAUAACGAAAGCCUCAGCAGAAUCCACCUAGUCUAAAGUUAGGCUUUUUGCAUCUACAUGGUAGCAAAGCGCCCUCUAGUUGAGUAAAACAGCUAGUUGCCAACCGUCCCUAUUGGUUACAAGGUUUAUCGUGGUAUUUCACAAUUUCAUACAUAUUGGCCAACAAUUAAAAAAAGUUUGGUUGAUACCAUAUAAUACUGUGGAAGGCACUUUUGCCAUCCAUGACAGAGAAUUUCUACAUAAUGUUUUACUGCUGAACUUAACCACAAAUUAAUGAAUAGCCCGUGGCUUCUUUUUUUGACAGCUUCCCGGAAAUCAGUACUGCACAUGCGUCGAGAAAAGCGUCGGGUUUAAAUGACGUCAUCGUUGUAAACAAAUUGGACAUUUAAACUGGCUAGUCGGAGAAGGGAGUGGUCAAAGGUAGACUCAUAUUUUUGACUCAUAUAAAUAUCGUGUGAUUGUUUUUCAUUCAGAUUGGUAAAAUGUAACGAUUCAUAUGCGGGGAGGGGGGCGUUUAAUUUUGCUGGAAUUUGUCGACGUGCAGACCAGCCACAAAAGACUAUUGGCAGACUGACGUUAGCUUACGCUAGUAGAUUUGAAGCGGUGGGAGGAGGCAGGGGAAGCGCCCUCUGAGUAACAGAAUAUUUGACCAACAACCGUUUUAAAGGGCAUGGUUCUGCGACUUACUGACGUUCACCCCAAUUUCAGCACCAGCGCCGUCAGAGGACAGCGAAAAGGAAGUCGUUACCGAAAUUGAAAAGUUGAAAAUCAACAAACCCGGAAUUUUAAAGAAAUCCUGUCUAUAAGUUCAGGACCAGUUCCUGGUUCACUCCUGGUGUCACCAUUAGCUGCUGUUGUGGGGAACCACGCUGCAGUGUUUGUCUCCACCAGCUCCUCGUCCUCAUUGACAACACCAGGACAUGGGCACAAGCGCAUCAAUACUACCAUCAGCCAACACUGUGCCUUUUUUGCAUCUUAACUGCAUAGACAGGUCUUAAACGUGACGAUGAAACAAGAAACCAUGAGGAGUUCACCACUCCCCACCUCUACAACCCAAGAUAAACUAUCUGAAGAAUUAUCCGCAUUGUUGUCUAUGCGAGAAGAAAACCUGCAGGACUUUACAGAGGCCUUACCACCCGAAAUGAGCCUGAAGAUCUUCGGUGAGCUGGACGUGAGAAGUCUGUGCCAGGCCGCGCUGACCAGCAAGCAG
RNA transcript from Clupea harengus (Atlantic herring), 5700 nucleotides. It is a transcript of the gene named F-box only protein 48, with no coding region annotated. NCBI's taxonomy places the organism in Eukaryota, Metazoa, Chordata, Actinopteri, Clupeiformes, Clupeidae. The transcript is spliced from 6 exons. The record is from RefSeq and is a predicted model, not a curated record.